GACGAACGCUGGCGGCGUGCUUAACACAUGCAAGUCGAACGGAAAGGCCCUGCUUUUGUGGGGUGCUCGAGUGGCGAACGGGUGAGUAACAUGUGAGUAACCUGCCCUUGACUUUGGGAUAACUUCAGGAAACUGGGGCUAAUACCGGAUAGGAGCUCCUGCUGCAUGGUGGGGGUUGGAAAGUUUCGGCGGUUGGGGAUGGACUCGCGGCUUAUCAGCUUGUUGGUGGGGUAGUGGCUUACCAAGGCUUUGACGGGUAGCCGGCCUGAGAGGGUGACCGGCCACAUUGGGACUGAGAUACGGCCCAGACUCCUACGGGAGGCAGCAGUGGGGAAUAUUGCACAAUGGGCGGAAGCCUGAUGCAGCAACGCCGCGUGCGGGAUGACGGCCUUCGGGUUGUAAACCGCUUUCGCCUGUGACGAAGCGUGAGUGACGGUAAUGGGUAAAGAAGCACCGGCUAACUACGU
RNAcentral lists this ribosomal RNA (467 nucleotides) under uncultured bacterium. Its description in RNAcentral is "partial 16S ribosomal RNA". It matches the Rfam family "Bacterial small subunit ribosomal RNA", at positions 28 to 506 of the family's 1533-position model. The record is from RNAcentral.